GGGUCAACUUCUCCAAGGAGAUCAUCACUCUCUCCAAGGAGGUGCGGAACCUGAAGUGGCUGGGGUUCCGAGUCCCGCUGGCGAUUGUCAACAAGGCUCACCAGGCUAACCAGCUGUACCCCUUCGCCAUCUCACUCAUCGAGAGUGUUCGCACCUACGAACGGACCUGCGAAAAGGUUGAUGAGAGACCCCAGAUCACCCUGCUGGUGGCAGGACUGAGGAAGGAUGUGCAGGCUUUACUGGCAGAGG
Branchiostoma belcheri (Belcher's lancelet) is the source of this 249-nucleotide long non-coding RNA. RefSeq lists it as uncharacterized. Lineage: Eukaryota; Metazoa; Chordata; Leptocardii; Amphioxiformes; Branchiostomatidae. The transcript has 3 exons. The record is from RefSeq and is a predicted model, not a curated record.